Molecule: ribosomal RNA, 492 nt
Filed under: uncultured bacterium
Lineage: Bacteria
Description: partial 16S ribosomal RNA
Rfam family: Bacterial small subunit ribosomal RNA
Source: RNAcentral
AGUGAACGCUGGCGGUAGACCUAACACAUGCAAGUCGAACGGCAGCGCAGUAAGAGCUUGCUCUUACGGGUGGCGAGUGGCGGACGGGUGAGGAAUACAUCGGAAUCUACUUUUUCGUGGGGGAUAACGUAGGGAAACUUACGCUAAUACCGCAUACGACCUACGGGUGAAAGCAGGGGAUCUUCGGACCUUGCGCGAUUGAAUGAGCCGAUGUCGGAUUAGCUAGUUGGCGGGGUAAAGGCCCACCAAGGCGACGAUCCGUAGCUGGUCUGAGAGGAUGAUCAGCCACACUGGAACUGAGACACGGUCCAGACUCCUACGGGAGGCAGCAGUGGGGAAUAUUGGACAAUGGGCGCAAGCCUGAUCCAGCCAUACCGCGUGGGUGAAGAAGGCCUUCGGGUUGUAAAGCCCUUUUGUUGGGAAAGAAAAGCAGCAGGUUAAUACCCCGCUGUUCUGACGGUACCCAAAGAAUAAGCACCGGCUAACUUCGUG